RNAcentral lists this ribosomal RNA (482 nucleotides) under uncultured bacterium. RNAcentral's name for it is "bacterial SSU rRNA". It matches the Rfam family "Bacterial small subunit ribosomal RNA", at positions 24 to 518 of the family's 1533-position model. The record is from RNAcentral.
UCAGGAUGAACGCUGGCGGCGUGCCUAACACAUGCAAGUCGAGCGGAGAUAAGUGAAGCUUAGCGAUCUUAUCUUAGCGGCGGAUGGGUGAGUAACACGUGGGUAACCUGCCCUGCACUGGGGAAUAACAGCUGGAAACGGCUGUUAAUGCCGCAUAUGCGCACGGAGCCGCAUGGCUUUGGGCGGAAAGAUUUAUCGGUGCAGGAUGGGCCCGCGCCGGAUUAACUAGUUGGCGGGGUAACGGCCCACCAAGGUGAUGAUCCGUAGCCGACCUGAGAGGGUGACCGGCCACAUUGGGACUGAGACACGGCCCAAACUCCUACGGGAGGCAGCAGUGGGGGAUAUUGCACAAUGGGGGAAACCCUGGUGCCAGCGACGCCGCGUGAAGGAUGAAGUAUUUCGGUAUGUAAACUUCUAUCAGCGGGGAAGAAGAUGACGGUACCCGACUAAGAAGCCCCGGCUAACUACGUGCCAGCAGCUGC